GGAGGCCGAGAGGCCGUUCUCAUGCGAUUCCGGCCAUUUACCAUGGAGGCGGCGAUGAGGGCUCAGGUUUAAGUUACCGAAAUGAGGGAGGGGAGGGGAUCCUUUUCUUUUUUUCUUAUUUUUUGCGGCUGAAUGAAGCUAGGUUAAAGGGGGGUUAAGACUUCAAAACGGCGCCGUUUAGCCCCAUGACCCGCGUGCGAUCCGACCCGCUCCAGGGGGAUCCGCGCGUUUGCAUGAAAUGGGCUAUUUGCGUCUUCGAUCCAUCCGCAUUUUUAUUUAUUUCGAUUUUGUCCUUUCGCUUAUUUAUUUACUUUAUAAAUUCGGCCCGUGAGUUUAGCUCCUGUUUCAAUUUGGUCC
Molecule: long non-coding RNA, 357 nt
Filed under: Gossypium raimondii (Peruvian cotton)
Lineage: Eukaryota; Viridiplantae; Streptophyta; Magnoliopsida; Malvales; Malvaceae
Description: long non-coding RNA (GRAI_LNC009542)
Source: RNAcentral